AGAGUUUGAUCAUGGCUCAGAUUGAACGCUGGCGGCAUGCUUUACACAUGCAAGUCGAGCGGCAGCGCGGGGGCAACCCUGGCGGCGAGCGGCGAACGGGUGAGUAAUGCAUCGGAACGUGUCCGGGAGUGGGGGAUAACGCCGCGAAAGCGGCGCUAAUACCGCAUAUUCUCUGCGGAGGAAAGCGGGGGACCUGAAAGGGCCUCGUGCUUUCGGGGCGGCCGAUGUCCGAUUAGGUUGUUGGUGGGGUAAUGGCCUACCAAGCCUGCGAUCGGUAGCUGGUCUGAGAGGAUGAUCAGCCACACUGGGACUGAGACACGGCCCAGACUCCUACGGGAGGCAGCAGUGGGGAAUUUUGGACAAUGGGGGCAACCCUGAUCCAGCCAUGCCGCGUGCGGGAAGAAGGCCUUCGGGUUGUAAACCGCUUUUAGCCGGGAAGAAAAGGCCACUCUUAAUACGGGUGGUUAUUGACGGUACCGGCGGAAUCAGCACCGGCUAACUACGUGCCAGCAGCCGCGGUAAUACGUAGGGUGCGAGCGUUAAUCGGAAUUACUGGGCGUAAAGCGUGCGCAGGCGGUUCGUUGUGUCUGUGGUGAAAGCCCCGGGCUUAACCUGGGAAUGGCCAUGGAAACUGGCGAGCUGGAGUGUGGCAGAGGGGGGUGGAAUUCCGCGUGUAGCAGUGAAAUGCGUAGAGAUGCGG
Molecule: ribosomal RNA, 700 nt
Filed under: uncultured bacterium
Lineage: Bacteria
Description: bacterial SSU rRNA
Rfam family: Bacterial small subunit ribosomal RNA
Source: RNAcentral